AUUGAACGCUGGCGGAAUGCUUUACACAUGCAAGUCGAACGGCAGCACGGACUUCGGUCUGGUGGCGAGUGGCGAACGGGUGGGUAAUGUAUCGGAACGUGCCCAGUUGUGGGGGAUAACGUAGUGAAAAUUACGCUAAUACCGCAUGCGAUCUAUGGAUGAAAGCGGGGGAUCGCAAGACCUCGCGCGAUUGGAGCGGCCGAUAUCAGAUUAGGUAGUUGGUGGGGUAAAGGCCCACCAAGCCAACGAUCUGUAGCUGGUCUGAGAGGACGACCAGCCACACUGGAACUGAGACACGGUCCAGACUCCUACGGGAGGCAGCAGUGGGGAAUUUUGGACAAUGGGCGAAAGCCUGAUCCAGCCAUUCCGCGUGCAGGACGAAGGCCCUCGGGUUGUAAACUGCUUUUGUACAGAACGAAAAGGUUUCUACUAAUACUAGGAGCUCAUGACGGUACUGUAAGAAUAAGCACCGGCUAACUACGUGCCAGCAGCCGCCGUAA
Molecule: ribosomal RNA, 500 nt
Filed under: uncultured bacterium
Lineage: Bacteria
Description: partial 16S ribosomal RNA
Rfam family: Bacterial small subunit ribosomal RNA
Source: RNAcentral